CUAAUGUCAUUAAAACCAAGUUUGACAUGCUGCAGAACAUAAAGGCACUUGCGGUAACUAACAUAUACCAACUGAUCGGUUUUUGUUAGUUAGUCCCUUGGACUGCCCAUUUACUUCUCUGCUUUAUUGGAGCAAUGAGAAUUUUACAACAUGUUAGUAAUUUUCAAUUUCAACCAUGAUUACUCAAACCAGAUUUGCGCUACAGGUGGAGCUCAAGAGCAAUACACGUGGAGCUCAACGGAAGCAAAUGAGCUCAAAGGAACAUUUUAAAAUUAUUGAACAUUUUUCAGCUGGAAUACAUUAAAAUCAGAGAAACAGCCGAAAUAAAAACAGAGCUGAAGAGCUACACAAAAAAAUCUGGGUGCGACAAUCCGUGGGCUGCAUACUUGGCUGGGCUGUCCAUGCCCGCACGAGCCAGGGGCCUUGCUGCUCUUACCCUUCCUCCUCCGACGCUCAAAGAAAAAGAAAAGGGAAACAUUUCUCCACCAACCGUUGCCGGCGGCAGCCCUAUCCGCGGCGAAGUCGCCGGUGAAGUGGGCCGUCUGGCUGCAGGGCAUUGCCUCCCAUUCCUUGUGCCCAGUGCCACAUCUUUCCACCGCGCCCCAUCCAGCAGCCGCGCCGUCCCUAGUCGCUGGCCUUCUUCGGUUUGACCCCCUCAGUCCUCGUCGCUCGUCGGUGGAGGGAGAAGCAUGGCAGGUCAAGGAUGAGGACGGUGAUGAACCACGCGAACACCAGGCGCAGGCGGUUCAAUAGGCUCAGAGGCUGCUUGGAAUCUGCUCAAGACCUGGAUGUAUUUACUAACCAAAAUGUCUUAUUCACCAUGGCUCUGAUUCCUGUUCAACAGAGAAGGAUGGCCAGAGCCUCACUAUCUUGGGCUCUCUGGUCAAUAUCUAAAGAAUGCGGUCUAGGCAUCUUAAUAUAUCUGCAGCACUAAAGCAACAACAUCGACUUCACAUUGAUCAGUCAGACCCAGAAUCUUGAGUCAGCAACCAUCUUGGUGGUUGGGGGCAAGCUGAAGUUGACAGCGGAUGUCAGCUGCCUGGAAGCAGCUGGAGGUCUCCUUCACUACUCUCUGGUUUGCGUGCAAACGAGAGUGGCGAAAACCUUGUGAUCUUUGCGAAAAUCUCUGUUGAUUGGUAGCUUUCUUUUAACACAUUUUGUGGCGCCCGAUCCUAAGGUUGCAUGACUUGUUUGGUUGCGCUGUUGGUAGAAUUGAAUCUCGCAGCUGGUAUUAGCUGAUUGUAAUUCAAUUUCCGAGUACUGGUAUGUACUACUACUACCUUGUCUCUUACAAAUUAAUUGAAGUUCUAGUUCUGUUCAUUUUUUAGCCUGGUACUACUGUCAAGAGG
Molecule: ribosomal RNA, 1349 nt
Filed under: Triticum aestivum (bread wheat)
Lineage: Eukaryota; Viridiplantae; Streptophyta; Magnoliopsida; Poales; Poaceae
Description: partial small subunit ribosomal RNA
Source: RNAcentral